GAUGAACGCUGGCGGCGUGCCUAAUACAUGCUAGUCGAGCGAACGGACGAGAAGCUUGCUUCUCUGAUGUUAGCGGCGGACGGGUGAGUAACACGUGGAUAACCUACCUAUAAGACUGGGAUAACUUCGGGAAACCGGAGCUAAUACCGGAUAAUAUUUUGAACCGCAUGGUUCAAAAGUGAAAGACGGUCUUGCUGUCACUUAUAGAUGGAUCCGCGCUGCAUUAGCUAGUUGGUAAGGCAACGGCUUACCAAGGCAACGAUGCAUAGCCGACCUGAGAGGGUGAUCGGCCACACUGGAACUGAGACACGGUCCAGACUCCUACGGGAGACAGCAAUAGGGAAUCUUCCGCAAUGGGCGAAAGCCUGACGGAGCAACGCCGCGUGAGUGAUGAAGGUCUUCGGAUCGUAAAACUCUGUUAUUAGGGAAGAACAUAUGUGUAAGUAACUGUGCACAUCUUGACGGUACCUAAUCAGAAAGCCACGGCUAACUACGUG
RNAcentral lists this ribosomal RNA (497 nucleotides) under uncultured bacterium. RNAcentral's name for it is "partial 16S ribosomal RNA". It matches the Rfam family "Bacterial small subunit ribosomal RNA", at positions 28 to 507 of the family's 1533-position model. The record is from RNAcentral.